AUCCCUUGACAUCCUGCGAACUUUCUAGAGAUAGAUUGGUGCCUUCGGGAACGCAGUGACAGGUGCUGCAUGGCUGUCGUCAGCUCGUGUCGUGAGAUGUUGGGUUAAGUCCCGCAACGAGCGCAACCCUUAUCAUUAGUUGCUAACAUUUAGUUGAGAACUCUAAUGAGACUGCCGGUGAUAAACCGGAGGAAGGCGGGGACGACGUCAAGUCAUCAUGGCCCUUAUGGGAUGGGCUACACACGUGCUACAAUGGGGGGUACAAAGAGCAGCCAACUGGCGACAGUGCGCGAAUCUCAUAAAACCUCUCGU
This 312-nucleotide ribosomal RNA is filed under the name uncultured bacterium. RNAcentral's name for it is "bacterial SSU rRNA". It matches the Rfam family "Bacterial small subunit ribosomal RNA", at positions 976 to 1289 of the family's 1533-position model. The record is from RNAcentral.